UACGUAGGGUGCAAGCGUUGUCCGGAAUUAUUGGGCGUAAAGAGCUCGUAGGCGGUCUGUCGCGUCGGCUGUGAAAACCCGGAGCUCAACUCCGGGCCUGCAGUCGAUACGGGCAAACUGGAGUGUUGCAGGGGAGACUGGAAUUCCUGGUGUAGCGGUGAAAUGCGCAGAUAUCAGGAGGAACACCGAUGGCGAAGGCAGAUCUCUGGGCCGUAACUGACGCUGAGGAGCGAAAGCGUGGGGAGCGAACAGG
RNAcentral lists this ribosomal RNA (253 nucleotides) under uncultured bacterium. RNAcentral describes it as "partial 16S ribosomal RNA". It matches the Rfam family "Bacterial small subunit ribosomal RNA", at positions 524 to 776 of the family's 1533-position model. The record is from RNAcentral.